CCCUCUUGUAAAAUGGCGCGUAAACGUCCUAUUUUCUCACCCCCUGUCCUCAGUCCCUCACCACUGACGCACUGUGAAGAUCCCAUUUUGUCACCCCGUGUUUUCAGUCCCCCACCAAGGAUGCCAUGUGACAUAGAAGAGGAACCAAAACCUUCAACAUCUAGUGGAAUUACAGCAAGAGAGAGUUCCAGAUACGUGUGGUUUAGACCUCGCUACGUCUUGUCAAGUGAUUCGGAGUAGAUUGGGAUCCGUAAAAACUGAAGACCUAUUUGGGAAGUCACAUUAGGACAUCAUCAUUUCUCUUUGGUUUUUAUUUAAGCCAAUGGCUUUCUUGCAAGCCUGUGGAAGCCUUAGGUAGCGCCUUGCAUCGGGGCUUUUCUUUAUCCCGCUGAUAGAUUUAGCAUUUUAGAUGUUAAGGAUUCUGGCAGGACUGAGGAAGCCUUAGGUAGCGCCGUGCUCCGGGCUUUUCUUCAUCUUUGCGUUUUCCUCUCUACUCCCCCAUGUUUCAGGGUGUGACAGUGGUGCUUCCCUACACAGUGCUCUCCAGUAUAGUAAAUUAUUGUGUCCUGUUCCUUUACUAAUCCACUCCAAGUUUUUAAUCUUUCAGGUUGUAGCUGCUCAUCGCUGGAUCCUUUCGUUGUUGUCCAUGUGGUUCCUGCCUUCUGGAUCUCUUGUCUUUCACACUGCUUGUUGGAUCUCCUCAGCCUGUAAACCUCCACCUUCAACACCACCAGUCAGAUGGAGGAAGAUAAGAGAACCCAGUUGGAAAAAAAAUAGCUUUGAUGAGCUUUAUGCUGAUGGAAGGAGGAUCAGGAAUAGAGCAGAGGACCUGCUGAUCUACUGGCUAUAGUAGAUUUUAUAAAUGCAUCAGUGAGACGAGACAGCAGCACUGGACCAAUCAGGAGAGAGAAGACAGAGGACUGAGGGGACACAGAAAAUCUUGCUGAAAGUCCAUAGAAGAAGAUUCCUGAUGCAACAGGGGGACAGCUGAGGACACAGAAUAAAGAGACAGAUCAUGUGAAGUUGGAUCUCCUCAGCCUGCAAACCUCCACUUUCAACACCACCUGUCAGAUGGAGGUAGAUAAGAGAACCCUGUUGACAAAAAAAUUGACCAACAAUUAAAGAAGAAGGCCUGCUCCAUCUGCUGAUCUACUGGUGUAACAGAUUGUGGAAAAGCAUCUUCAAUAGCACUGGACCAAUCAGCAGAGAAGACACAGAGGACUGAGGAGACACAGAAAAUCCUGCUGGAAAUCCCGAGAUGGAGUUUCCUGGUGCAGCAGGACACAGAAUAAAGAAGGACCAUGUGAAACUCGUGCAGAGUAUGGUCAGAGUUGUCCAUAGCUUUCUUGACUCUUAUGAAGAAUCCUUCUUUGCAUCAUUUCCAGAGGUUCCACAGUCGUUUCCAGAACAGAACCAGAACAAAUCCAGCCUCAUCAGGUUGUUGAGCCUUUUGAGGUUCAUGGCUCUGAUGCUGCUGCACCAACAGAUGAUAGCAGAAGAGACGACGCUCUCAACAGCAGACUUGUAGAUCUGCAGCAUCGUGUUGCAAACCUUGAAGGGUCUUAGCUUCCUGGAGAAGUGCAGUCUGCUCUGUCUCUUUGUAUAGAUGCUUCACUGUUGCGUCUCCAGUCUGUGUUCCAGAUGAACACAGAGGUAUUUAUAUUCCUGAACCACCUCCACAUCUUCUCCCAUGAUGGAAAUAGGGUUUGAUCCAACCCUGUUUCUCCUGGAAUCAACAACCAUCUCCUUUGUAUUGUUUACAGUCAAGAUGAGAUGAUUGUUCCCACACCAGGCCACAAAGCGGUCCACCAGAUCUCUGUACUCGGCCUCUUGUCUUCUUCUGAUACACACAACAGCUGCACAGUCAUCUGAGUAUUUCUGUAGAUGACAGAAGUCGGACUUGUGCUGGAAGUCUGAAGUGUGGAGAGUGAAAAGGAAUGGUGAGAGUACAGAGCCCUGUGGUGUUCCUGUGCUGCUGACCACCUGGUUAGACACACAGUCCUUCAGUCUCACACUGUGGUCUGUUUGUCAGGGUCCACCCAUUUAAACCAUUGGGUUUGCUGUUAAUGCUAACGCCCCCUUGUGGCAGCGGUAAAACAUUACAACUAGACAGCUUUAAAUAAGUGGUAACAUUUAUUUGAACACAUUGAAACGAUGAAGGAAUCAGGGUCAGUCUUUAAUUUAUGAUCAUCAGCAGCACUGACAGAUGUGGCUUGUUACACUUGUUAUAAAUAAAAUUAAACUUCUCAGACAUCUUUGAGUCUUCCCAGCUUGGAGAAGCUAACUUUACAGAAAGCUAGGAGUGUUUUUCUGGAAAGUUAGCAUCUGAUUCAGAAUCCUCUGACUUGUCUUCACUGGAUUAAGCUGCACUGAAAAUGCACUGCUUAAAACUCAUUUUUUGCAGCUUUUUUGUCUGCAAAUAUUAAAAUAUGCACUUUAUUCAUCUAAAUCAGCUCCAGUUUAGAAUGCAGAUAUGAGAGUCAGGGUUUCCCCCAGUGUAUUAUAAGCCUGGUGGGCCACCAGGCUUUACUUGUGCCCCCACCAGGCUAAGCAUC
Long non-coding RNA from Poecilia latipinna (sailfin molly), 2555 nucleotides. RefSeq lists it as uncharacterized. The transcript is spliced from 8 exons. Lineage: Eukaryota; Metazoa; Chordata; Actinopteri; Cyprinodontiformes; Poeciliidae. The record is from RefSeq and is a predicted model, not a curated record.